GAUGAACGCUGGCGGCGUGCCUAAUACAUGCAAGUCGAGCGAACGGACGAGAAGCUUGCUCCUCUGAUGUUAGCGGCGGACGGGUGAGUAACACGUGGAUAACCUACCUAUAAGACUGGGAUAACUUCGGGAAACCGGAGCUAAUACCGGAUAAUAUUUUGAACCGCAUGGUUCAAAAGUGAAAGACGGUCUUGCUGUCACUUAUAGAUCGAUCCGCGCUCCAUUAGCUAGUUGGUAAGGUAACGACUUACCAAGGCAACGAUGCAUAGCCGACCUGAGAUGGUGAUCGGCCACACUGGAACAGAGACACGGUCCAGACUCCUACGGGAGGCAGCAGGAGGGAACCUUCACAAAUGGGCGAAAGCCUGACGGAGCAACGCCGCGUGAGUGGUGAAGGUCUUCGGAUCGUAAACCCCUGUUAUUAGGGAAUACCAUAUGUGUAAGGAACUGUGCACAUCUUGACGGUACCUACUCAGAAAGCCACGGCUAACUACGUG
RNAcentral lists this ribosomal RNA (497 nucleotides) under uncultured bacterium. RNAcentral's name for it is "partial 16S ribosomal RNA". It matches the Rfam family "Bacterial small subunit ribosomal RNA", at positions 28 to 507 of the family's 1533-position model. The record is from RNAcentral.